UUCAGCAGCCAUAUCACCCUGCAACUCACAACUGGCAACCCACUGAAGCUAAGCAGGUGUGAGGCUGGUCAGUAUCUGGAUGGGAGAACUCCUGGGAAAAACUAAGGUUGCUGCUGGAA
Molecule: ribosomal RNA, 119 nt
Organism: Lepisosteus oculatus (spotted gar)
Lineage: Eukaryota; Metazoa; Chordata; Actinopteri; Semionotiformes; Lepisosteidae
Source: Rfam